UGGGGAAUAUUGCACAAUGGGCGCAAGCCUGAUGCAGCCAUGCCGCGUGUGUGAAGAAGGCCUUCGGGUUGUAAAGCACUUUCAGCGAGGAGGAAGGUGGUGAGCUUAAUACGCUCAUCAAUUGACGUUACUCGCAGAAGAAGCACCGGCUAACUCCGUGCCAGCAGCCGCGGUAAUACGGGGGUGCAAGCGUUAAUCGGAAUUACUGGGCGUAAAGCGCACGCAGGCGGUUUGUUAAGUCAGAUGUGAAAUCCCCGGGCUCAACCUGGGAACUGCAUUUGAAACUGGCAAGCUAGAGUCUCGUAGAGGGGGGUAGAAUUCCAGGUGUAGCGGUGAAAUGCGUAGAGAUCUGGAGGAAUACCGGUGGCGAAGGCGGCCCCCUGGACGAAGACUGACGCUCAGGUGCGAAAGCGUGGGGAGCAAACAGGAUUAGAUACCCUGGUAGUCCACGCUGUAAACGAUGUCGAUUUUGGAGGUUGUGCCCUUGAGGCGUGGCUUCCGGAGCUAACGCGUUAAAUCGACCGCCUGGGGAGUACGGCCGCAAGGUUAAAACUCAAAGGAAUUGAC
RNAcentral lists this ribosomal RNA (567 nucleotides) under uncultured bacterium. Its description in RNAcentral is "partial 16S ribosomal RNA". It matches the Rfam family "Bacterial small subunit ribosomal RNA", at positions 355 to 914 of the family's 1533-position model. The record is from RNAcentral.